This 253-nucleotide ribosomal RNA is filed under the name uncultured bacterium. RNAcentral's name for it is "partial 16S ribosomal RNA". It matches the Rfam family "Bacterial small subunit ribosomal RNA", at positions 524 to 776 of the family's 1533-position model. The record is from RNAcentral.
UACGUAGGGUGCGAGCGUUAAUCGGAAUUACUGGGCGUAAAGCGUGCGCAGGCGGUUUUGUAAGCCAGAUGUGAAAGCCCCGGGCUCAACCUGGGAAUGGCAUUUGGGACUGCAAGGCUUGAGUGCGGCAGAGGAGACUGGAAUUCCUGGUGUAGCAGUGAAAUGCGUAGAUAUCAGGAGGAAUACCGAUGGCGAAGGCAGCUCGCUGGGACGUUACUGACGCUGAGACGCGAAAGCGUGGGGAGCAAACAGG